This 253-nucleotide ribosomal RNA is filed under the name uncultured bacterium. RNAcentral describes it as "partial 16S ribosomal RNA". It matches the Rfam family "Bacterial small subunit ribosomal RNA", at positions 524 to 776 of the family's 1533-position model. The record is from RNAcentral.
UACGGAGGGUGCAAGCGUUAUCCGGAUUCACUGGGUUUAAAGGGUGCGUAGGCGGGUUGGUAAGUCCGUGGUGAAAUCUCCAAGCUUAACUUGGAAACUGCCGUGGAUACUAUCAAUCUUGAAUAUCGUGGAGGUAAGCGGAAUAUGUCAUGUAGCGGUGAAAUGCUUAGAUAUGACAUAGAACACCAAUUGCGAAGGCAGCUCACAAAGCCACUAUUGACGCUGAGGCACGAAAGCGUGGGGAUCAAACAGG